This is a long non-coding RNA of Gorilla gorilla gorilla (western lowland gorilla), 1582 nucleotides long. RefSeq lists it as uncharacterized. The transcript has 3 exons. Lineage: Eukaryota; Metazoa; Chordata; Mammalia; Primates; Hominidae. The record is from RefSeq and is a predicted model, not a curated record.
UAAAGUGAAAUGGGGCCUUGAAAUUUCUCAAGGAUGCCCUAAAACAGACAAGGAACAAGUCUGUUCCAAAUGGUAAGAUGGAGCAGGAUAGUAAUGAUGUAACAGUGUAAUUUUUUAUUUACAGAUAUAAAACAUCAGAUGAAAUACAUCAUAAUUUUCAUAGUUAUUUAAGUGUGAAAGGCACAUAAUUGAACUAGAAGCAAUAAGUGGAAAUCAGGAGAAACAUUAAAGACAUUCCAGUGUCACUGAGCAUGCCGAAACCUGAAAACAUGUGGAACCCUACUCAACAAUACGAAGCAGCAGACUACCGCUACACACCACCAAGAAUAUUAUAUUAAAUGAAAGAAGCCAGACAGAAAAGAAAGUGUGCCGUACGCUUCCGUUCAUAUAAAAUUCUAGAGCUAGCAAGCCGAAGUUAUAAUGAUGGAAAUUAGGGGAUCAAUUUCCUUCGGGGACUGACCUGAAAGAAGCAUAAGGGAGCUUUUUAGGAUCAUGAAAAUGUUUUAUACCUUGGAUGAGCUGGCGGUUACUUGAUUGUCUUGUUUUAAAAACUAUUUGAACUGUACACUUAAUACCUAUGUAUUUUCUUGUAUGUAAAUUGUAACACAAUUUAAAAAGUGGGAAUUACAAUCCUGUUUUUAUUUCAUAUAAAAUCCAUCUCUUUCAACAGCCAGACUUCUUGAAUGGGUUGCUUUUAUUUGCAUUCUCCAUUUUCUUACCUUUGCGCAGCCUUAAACUCAGUCAUUCACUACAAUAAUCCCCCACCCAUAUGCUGUUCCUCUUUUCCAAAAUUACCUUCCCCUGGAUGAUUUGGCUUGGCUAAUCCUACUCAUUCUUUCGAUUUCUACCUAAACAUCAUCAUCUCCUAGCCCUCUAGACCACACUGAGUGCUAUGGAUAUAUAUUUCCAUAGAACCCUUUACUUUCAUAAUACAGCAUUCAGCAUCUCUUCUUAUAAUUACUUGCUUAAAUUAUCUCUCUUUACACUAAGCCAUAUGCUCUGGGCAGUGAUGUUUAUUUUGUUCACCCCUGAAUUCUCAGUACCAAGCAAUUUGCUUGGUACAUGAUACUUGAAAAGCUAUCUGUCGAAUGAAUAAAUAAGUAAAUGAAUGAGCUAUCUCUCAUACUUUUCAUGUACUUUUUAUCUCUCGUACUUUUCAUAUAUCAGCUCUGUCACUCUUCCUUUGAUUUAUUUCUAUUUUCUCUUCCACAAUUCUAGUGAGUCCUUAACAUCUCUUCCCUAGGCUUUUGUAAUACGUUUCUAACAGAUCCCUAGGCCUCUGGUCUCUUGUGUUUCUAAUCUAGUAUUUGCAUUGCCACAAGAAACAUCUACCUGAAAUGUCUGUUAACUUGUCAUUUUUUUCCUCUUUUCAGUAUCUUUGAUUACUUACUAUAUAAAUAAAAAACUUUCAACAUUAUUUUUCUGGAUCAAUCCUUUAUUUGUCAGGUCAUAUCUCAGGAUAUGUUUCUUGUAUCUAUUUCUACUUUCUCUUUACCAUCUGAACUGUUGCAAACCUCAACUUGUUUCUACCUCCAGUACCUUUCCAUUCUAGUGCAUUUUCCACAGAAUCGCCUGUGUUAUC